This 75-nucleotide transfer RNA is filed under the name Caudoviricetes sp. RNAcentral's name for it is "tRNA-Trp". It matches the Rfam family "tRNA". From Rfam's summary of the family: Transfer RNA (tRNA) molecules are approximately 80 nucleotides in length. Their secondary structure includes four short double-helical elements and three loops (D, anti-codon, and T loops). The record is from RNAcentral. Lineage: Duplodnaviria; Heunggongvirae; Uroviricota; Caudoviricetes.
GUAUCUAUAGUUUAAUUGGAAAAACGGUGGUCUCCAAAACCAUUAUUCGAGGUUCAAGUCCUUGUGGGUAUGCCA